Molecule: ribosomal RNA, 415 nt
Filed under: uncultured Clostridium sp.
Lineage: Bacteria; Bacillati; Bacillota; Clostridia; Eubacteriales; Clostridiaceae
Description: bacterial SSU rRNA
Rfam family: Bacterial small subunit ribosomal RNA
Source: RNAcentral
AAGAGCGGCGGACGGGUGAGUAACGCGUGGGUAACCUGCCCUGUACACACGGAUAACAUACCGAAAGGUAUGCUAAUACGAGAUAAUAUACUUUUAUCGCAUGGUAGAAAUAUCAAAGCUUUUGCGGUACAGGAUGGACCCGCGUCUGAUUAGCUAGUUGGUAAGGUAACGGCUUACCAAGGCGACGAUCAGUAGCCGACCUGAGAGGGUGAUCGGCCACAUUGGAACUGAGACACGGUCCAAACUCCUACGGGAGGCAGCAGUGGGGAAUAUUGCACAAUGGGCGAAAGCCUGAUGCAGCAACGCCGCGUGAGCGAUGAAGGCCUUCGGGUCGUAAAGCUCUGUCCUCAAGGAAGAUAAUGACGGUACUUGAGGAGGAAGCCCCGGCUAACUACGUGCCAGCAGCCGCGGUAAU